AACGCGAAGAACCUUACCAGCCCUUGACAUGCCUCGUCCGGGUAGGGGAGACCCUAUUCUUCAGUUCGGCUGGCGGGGGACACAGGUGCUGCAUGGCUGUCGUCAGCUCGUGUCGUGAGAUGUUGGGUUAAGUCCCGCAACGAGCGCAACCCCCAUCUGCAGUUGCCAGCGGGUAGAGCCGGGCACUCUGCAGAAACUGCCGGUGACAAGCCGGAGGAAGGCGGGGAUGACGUCAAGUCCUCAUGGCCCUUAUGGGCUGGGCUACACACGUGCUACAAUGGCGGUGACAGAGGGCGGCGCGGCAGCGAUGCCUAGCCAAUCUCGAAAAGCCGUCUCAGUUCGGAUUGCUCUCUGCAACUCGGGAGCAUGAAGUCGGAAUCGCUAGUAAUCGCGGAUCAGCCAUGCCGCGGUGAAUACGUUCCCGGGCCUUGGUACACACCGACUGUAC
Molecule: ribosomal RNA, 448 nt
Filed under: uncultured bacterium
Lineage: Bacteria
Description: bacterial SSU rRNA
Rfam family: Bacterial small subunit ribosomal RNA
Source: RNAcentral